Molecule: non-coding RNA, 6872 nt
Organism: Cyanistes caeruleus (blue tit)
Lineage: Eukaryota; Metazoa; Chordata; Aves; Passeriformes; Paridae
Source: RefSeq, a predicted model, not a curated record
GGAUGAUGGAUGGAUGGAUGGAUGGAUGGAUGAUGGAUGGAUGGAUGGAUGGAUGGAUGGAUGGAUGGAUGGGGUGAGGUAUCCCCAGAAAGAAUGUACACCCCAGAGCUGGCACGCACCAAGCCGGGGUACGCAGAGCUGCUCCAAACCACGCCACAAUCAGCAGCCUCGUGGGCUGGAGCUGGAGAGUGGCCGACCCUCCUAGCCGGGAGCUAAUGAUUCCCUUCAGGAUUGCAUCAUUAGAUUCAAACUGAGUCAUUAUGAGGCAAUUUGGGAAAACAAGUUGGAAUUCAUUACCAAGGAAACGCUCUGGAGCUGUUGCAAGAGCCUCCUGUCGGGUGCCGGGUGGGUGCGCAGAGGCACCACCUCGCUCCCGGGACCAAGCACUGCUCUGCCCUCGUGGGAAGGCAGACCCAUUCCCAAUGUAGGCUGGUGGGAUUCUUCUCUUAUUCCACCCACAGCUGCUUCCUGAUCCGUUCUGCCACUGCUCUGCUUCUGACACCUGCCACAAGAAUAAACAAGCCCCAGGGCAGGGGGAGACAUUGAAAUUGUGAAAUUUGCACUCUUGCGUUCCCGGGUGCAACCUCAGGAGCAGCCUCAGCCUCUGGCAGCAGUUCCAGCAUCAUCUCCCCUGGUGUCCAGCUGCUGGCAGCCCCUUUGCUCCAGCUGGAUGGUUGGAUGUUUGCCUGCCCUGCUCACUGCCUGUUGCUUCUGGUGCUUCUCCAGGUGGACACAGCUUUGCACGGCUCUGCCAUCAGCAAAAGCAUUUUCAGCAGGUGUAGUGGAGGGGCUGGAAAGGGACUACAAGCAAACAGCCAAAUGAUUUGUGGCAGGUUCUUGGAAGCCAAACAAAACCACAUGCUGGUGUCAGUGUUUGGGCUGCAGCUUGUUCUAUGAAGCCACCACUGAACCAUGGGAGGAUUUCUACCUGCAAAGUGCUGGAUGAGGACAACAACAUCCUUGAUGAAGGCAGAGAAUGUGGUAUGAAGGAUGAGUAAAAGUUUGGGAGAGCAGUAAGAGAAAAGGAACUUGGGGAGCAAUCCAAGGCUUGAUUAUGGGUUGGCACUCAACACAGAUGAUCAUCAAUCAGCAGAGAUCAAUUACUCUGGAAGCUUAAGCACCUACCAGGAGCAACACUAACAUCAGCUUGAUGACUAAGGAAACAAGGACAUGGAUAGAGACCAGCAUGGAUGGAUACAGGCCCCUUACUUGCCUCUGCAGAAAGCUGUUAUCCUGAAGUUACUGCUGGGAGAGGCCAAGCUGUGGCCACUGAGGGUGAACUGGGGUUUUUGUUAAUAUGUUUAUAAAAAUGUGAGGCCUGAGCAUUUGCUGGGAAAGAGGAUACUGUUGUAUUUGAAAAUAAAAUAAGCAAAUGUUUGCCUAGUGAGGGAGAAAAAUUAUUUCAGAAAUAAUAUGGGAUAAUGGAGAAAUUCCUCAAAAAUCAAAUAUAGUGAGGACAGCAAAGCCCUGGUGAGGUGAGCAAACUUGUGGGUAGCAAAAACAACUGAGGACAGACCUGCUGAGCAUUUCCCAUCAGUCAUUUUCUAGGGAACUCCAUGCCACAGCUGCUUGAAGAGAUAGAUGAUGGAUGGCUGAUCCCUGGUAAAUCUCUGCCAGCACCAGGAAUGAGGAGGUUUAAAGGAACAGAGCAAGGUACAGAGUGAAGAGGAUUUCAAACACAGUGCUCAGGGCACCACAGCCCUCAUUACCAGUGCCCCACAUGGUGUUUACCGUAGGACUGGCAAGAGAAAAGGCUUUGAAUAUCCUCACACCUGCUUGUGAUGCCAGAGCCUCACAGCACAGGUGACAAACUCACCAGACUCAGGGGACUGGGGCGGGAGUCCACCCUCUGCACAGUGACUGCAGGCUUGGGACUGGCUCUACUGGGUGACCCUUCCAACUUAGAGCCACAAAAUCUGGUCAGUUUUGUAAAUUAGAGGUUGCACUUUAAAGAUUGGAUUUUUUUCAAACUCCUACCAAAAUGCAGCAGGUCCCUGUAGAGUCAGUUAUUUGCCUGAGGGAGAAACUAGGUCAAAACUUGGUAAAUUCGGAUAUAAAGGGUUUCCUAUGCUUCCUCAGCAAACAAUGUCUUACUGCACAUAACUGCAACUAACUGUGUGCCCUCAGCCUUGUUCUGUCCCAGGUGAUGCUUAAACUGUCAAUAAUCCUAAGGCUGCUGUCACAGUGCUGCUCAAUGGGGUUGACAGAUUAUAUCUCUAAAGUCCCUUUAUUGGACCUUGUUCCCAGAAAAGCUUGCAAAUUGCUCUGAUCUUACCAGACAAAGGCGUUGCUCACUCUCGGAGUCCUUGGAUAUCCUACACAAUAAGGUAGGAAUUGGUGAGAAUUACCUGAGAUAAAAUAUCCCUUACAACAUCAAAGUUCCUGAUCUCUUAGCUGUCAGCUGCAGGUAUGUGAAAGUCCUGACAGGCUGAAGAUAGAAGGAAGAGAUAAAGCAAAAGAAGAAGGGAGGGGGAAUGGAGAAAUUCUCUGCGUGAAACGUUAUAUCAUUGGAUUUGGCACAAAGAUGUCAGCUCAGGGGGUCUGUGCAGCCAGCUGGGGUGUGAGCAGGGCACUGGGCUUUCACCUUCUGAGAUGAAUCAACAGCAGCUGAUACCAGGACAGAUCCUGAUCCUUGGCACACCAGUGGAUAGGGAGAUGGACAUCAAUAGUCUUUGUGAGUCCCUUCUAACUCAGGAUAUUCUAUGAUAAAUUAAGCAGGAGUAACAGAGAUCGGGAUAAAUCAUGAUCAUGCAUCACUCACAUUUUCCCUAUCCCUGUACACUUAGCUUUUGGUUAUUUUUUGCCAGUGAAAUGGAUGAAGUAGGUCAGUUAGCAGGGGUAAUCACUGGUGUAACACAGGACAUCAUCCUUUUGCCAUCUUUGCCCUGCACAUUUUAUAAUAAUUGACUUCUCUGAGUUGUCACAGGAGCACGGCAGGAGAGCUGGGGUCAGACUCCACGUGAUGCUGCCCAACCUGCACCACUCAUCUCCCUGCAAAAGUCCAGUUCAUUGGCACCAAAGCCACAGAGACAAAAGCUGCUUGCUUGGUGAUCCAGUGGAAUUUUGAGGGUCUUCUGGAAGUAUAGAAUAUACACAAACAUGUCUAUAGGAAAUUAUGGUAUCUUUCUGCUUUUCUGGAUAACCAAGGUCAUACCUGAAUGAGCUAAAAUAAAGCCAGGAAAGAACUAGUAGGUUGAAUCUUCUAAGGAACAAAAAGAAGGUAUAAUCUACUAGGAUAUUAAAUUUUUUUUUUAAAUUUGCUGGUAUUGCUUCACAUCAUCUGAACUGUCCCUGUCACUGACUUGUGUGUGCCUCAUCCUCUCCCUGCAUCACUGCUCUUCUCUUGGCUGGUGUGAAUGUACCUCCUCAGGAGAAACCCUGGCUUGAACUUGACCUGCCCAGAUUCCAGAAGAAGGCAGAGGAAUCCCAGGAGAGGAGGAGAAAAGCAUUUCCUAAAUCAGACAAACAGCACAUCUGUACUGCAAACUCAGCUUAGGCUCAGAUUCCUUUCCAUAGCUAGAGAGUGACUUUCCCCCAAAGCUGCUGGUGCUUUAGAUCAUUUGAUCCGGUCACCCGGUCACAUUGUGGGCAUGCUCCAGGCUUUUGCUUUCCCUUGGGCUGAAAACCCACCCAUUUUGAAAGAAACCUAAACCAUAGGUGGGACCCUCCUGUGCCUGCUUGCCAUCCAUCCUCCCUUCUCCCUCCCCACCUGCCUCUUUCCUUCACAUCUCUUCAAGAAGAUUUUGGUGGAGAUCUUCCAUGCAAACACCUAGGUGGCACAUAUCCUUGGAAGCGUUGGUGACCUGCAGAGCUGGACAUCUACACAAGGAUUUCUGCUUCAUUAACCAAACUGCUCCUGGACCGUGUGUGUGCUCACUUCCUACACCGUGUGGAAUGAACAGCCUCACUCCACAGGGUCUCUGGAUAACCUGAAGGAUGUGACAGCUCUGCAGGGAAUGGAGCACAAGCCUUGGCAUUACCUUUCUGGAGACACUGGUGAUACGAGCUGUGAACAGCUGGUACAGAGCACCAACAUCCUGGGCACGUGGUUUGACACUACACCUUGAUGGGUAAAAGGUGGAAGUGUUGCCUGGCAUGAGAGGUAGGACAUUCAGCAGAGAAGGAGUUGCCUGAUGUGACCAAGGACAAGAUUGCACAGCAUCUGAUGUGACUCUGGGCACAGCUGUCUGUUCUCUCCAUACAGUCAGCACCACUUCUGUCUGUGUCCAUGAAGAGACAGACCCACAACUACACAGAAACUCAAGAAAACCCAACUCAUUUGGGAUUUUACAGGAUCUGAAGAAAAAUGGUGUGAGGAAAGAUGGAGAGUCAAAAAGCAGAGGCUGUCAGUAGAUCUGCUGUAAGGUAAACUGGACAGCUGCUGACACUGGCUGAACCUGUGCUGGAUCUUUGAGGGUUUUUUUGCCUCAAUGGGAAUUGUAUCUGCAACCUGUGAGCACAGCAGGUCUAGACAGGUACAGACCUUUCUCAGUGUGUUGAUUUUCCACUGAAGCCAAACUGUCCAGAUCACCCCCCACCCAAAUCCCAACAUAAUUCUUAUUUUCCUGAUAACCCAGGUAAAGUUUUGACUCCUACAAGGGAUUUUACUCCUACUGGGGGAUUUCAGUGCCUUGUCACAAGAUGCACAGCUCUGUAAAGUAUCCAUUCUGAAGUAGUUCUGCCAAAUACCAAAUGAAAAUUGCAUAACAUGAGAAGGAGAAAACCACAGCUGAAGCUUCCUCAUCCACAGUGGCAGCUGAGAGUGGACGUCACGAGUUCCUCCAUACCAAAUGGCAUCAUUUCCAUUUUCUUUGGACUGUAGUAGUGAAAGAAUAAACAUUUCAAAAGGUUCAAAUGAGACCGUUGAGUGCCAGCACUGAGUCCCUGUGAGGUUGGGAUAAACUGACAAAAUAACAUCCUGCAGAAGCUGUGCCUGGGACAAACCACCAUUCCUGUGUUCAUGUUCUGUGGUUUGUAGCACAGGGGCCACUUUAAACCUUGGUCUCUAUCCAGACACCAGUACCAGCUCUCCCAUGACUUUAUGUUUGCAUCUCUUUCUUCUUCAUGAAGGGAAAAUUUCCAGGUUUGUUCCUUUUAACUUUGUUCAUGGUAGCACUCUUGACAGAAGGACUUAGUGCCUAUUUAAUGUCUUUGCAAGGAAAAGAGAGAAACUUCUCGGUUACAUAAAAGUUUGUAUCAAAAUUCAAGAAUCCGGAUUAAUUAUAGAAGACUUGCCUUGUAUCAUUCAAUUUGUUUGAAUAGCUUUAAAGAUUAAGCAGAUCCAAGGCCUAACAGAACCAGAGCCAGUAAGACAAUAGCUGAGAUUUUCCUUUGAAACAAAAUAUACAGGUGGUUUCUGUGAGUUUCUGUGUCUAUCUGCCCGGCUUUUUUAUUUUUGUCGUAUCCAAUAUCACAGAACCUGGCAGUAGAAAUCAUAUAGCAAUUUGUGAAAGCUUGUUGCUGUUCUAGAUAUCAUAUAGUCUGUUCCACACCAGCAAAGACAAAACCAAUGCCUUUACUCUUCGAGUUUUCAUUCAAAAGGAUAAUGAUCUCUGGUAACAAAAUAUUUGGCAGUAGCAUUAUUUAAAAUGCACAGAGGAAAUGUUUGUCCCUAAGUCAAGGGACUGUGGUCACACAGUCUCUAUUCACUUGGUAUUUACCAGGGAAUGCCAAAGGCUAAUCUGCAAAAAAGCCCAGGAACAGAGUUAAGUUUAUCACACUCCAUCCUUCACCCAUCCCAUUGUAAGGGAAUUGAAAAAUAGUAAUUAUUGAGUUUCUCUGUGGCCAGAGAACUUAUAAACCGUGUUAUACCCAGCAGGCUCUAAUGACUCCUUCGGUAAGUAUCUAAUUAAGUGGUUGGGGUGUUGGGUUUUUUCCUUCUUUCACAGCAUACUUUUGUGUUUUAAAAUCCCUUUGCAUUAAACGACUUCUCGAGUUUUCCAAAUUUCUCACACGCACAGAAGAGGGAAGUAAGAAAAAAAGCGGAGGGGAGAUUUCGGUCGUGAGAACAGGAGGCAGAAACAAGGAUUCACAAAGGCCAAAGGCAAAUCGUCCCCAAAAUCUCCAUCUAAAACACUGAAAACCGCAGCAACGAUCUGCCUGGGACCGUUGGCUGUCUUGAGGGGGAAAUAAAGCCAGCCCGAGGGCAAUGGCUGCGUUUGGGGGGGACAAGGCUGCUCCCCAAAGCCCAAAGCAGUCACAACACCUUGAGGGCUUUGAAGGGUGCAAAUCUGGGGUUUGGGCAGUUUUACCGACCCCGCUUGGCAUCCCUCGCCCGCCGGUCCCCGGCACCGCGAAAUCCCGCUCCACCCCGGGGCAGCGGAACGCGCCGAGCGGUGCCGGGCGAACGCACGGUCGGGGCUGGGAGAAACUGUCCCGGGGUAGGAGGAGAGGAGCCGAGCAUCCGCCCCGCUCCCUCCUCGACUUCGGGAGGGAUGCUUGGCUUCGGCGGAGAGAUUCAUGACAGCACCCUUCAAAACCAUUUCGCUGGGAAGAGCUGGUGUGUCUCGAAUCAGCUGGGCACAGCUCACAAGUACCAUUCCGAAACUGAGUGAUUCUUCCUGUAAACAAAAGUUCAGGAGCUUGAUUCGGGAAGACAUGACAGCACUGGGGACGUUGCACUGCAAACUGUUCAGCUGUGUGAGCCUGUGUGUACUGAGGCGUUAAUGCAGAACUGUUGGGCAUUGGGCCCAGAACAGAUGUGAUGAUGAGUGAGAGCAAAGAGACGGGGAGGAAGGAGCAGAAGAAGAAAGAACAUUUUAGGCUUCUCAGUUCCUGCCUAGACAACCACUGCUUCCAAAACCUGGGCACCGUCCCCAUUUGCCUCUUAUCAGGAGAAAGUAGGAAGCAACAUGAUCUGUGGAGAAAAUGAA